AUACGGAGGAUCCGAGCGUUAUCCGGAUUUAUUGGGUUUAAAGGGUGCGCAGGCGGCCAUUUAAGUCAGCGGUUAAAUCGUGGGGCUCAACCCCAUUCUGCCGUUGAUACUGGGUGGCUUGAUUGCGGUCGAGGUUGGCGGAAUUCGUUGUGUAGCGGUGAAAUGCAUAGAUAUGACGAAGAACACCGAUUGCGUAGGCAGCUGACCAGACCGCAAAUGACGCUCAUGCACGAAAGUGCGGGGAUCAAACAGGAUUAGAUACCCUGGUAGUCCGCACAGUAAACGAUGAAUACUUGUUUUCGGCGAUAUAAUGUCGGAGGCAAAGCGAAAGCGAUAAGUAUUCCACCUGGGGAGUACGCCGGCAACGGUGAAACUCAAAUGAAUUGACGGGG
RNAcentral lists this ribosomal RNA (392 nucleotides) under uncultured bacterium. Its description in RNAcentral is "partial 16S ribosomal RNA". It matches the Rfam family "Bacterial small subunit ribosomal RNA", at positions 523 to 918 of the family's 1533-position model. The record is from RNAcentral.